Molecule: ribosomal RNA, 253 nt
Filed under: uncultured bacterium
Lineage: Bacteria
Description: partial 16S ribosomal RNA
Rfam family: Bacterial small subunit ribosomal RNA
Source: RNAcentral
UACGAAGGGGGCUAGCGUUGCUCGGAAUCACUGGGCGUUAAGGGUGCGUAGGCGGGUUUUUAAGUCAGGGGUGAAAUCCUGGAGCUCAACUCCAGAACUGCCUUUGAUACUGAAGAUCUUGAGUCCGGGAGAGGUGAGUGGAACUGCGAGUGUAGAGGUGAAAUUCGUAGAUAUUCGCAAGAACACCAGUGGCGAAGGCGGCUCACUGGCCCGAUACUGACGCUGAGGCACGAAAGCGUGGGGAGCAAACAGG